GAUGAACGCUGGCGGCGUGCUUAACACAUGCCAGUCGAACGGAAAGGCCCAAGCUUGCUUGGGUACUCGAGUGGCGAACGGGUGAGUAACACGUGGGUGAUCUGCCCUGCACUUCGGGAUAAGCCUGGGAAACUGGGUCUAAUACUGGAUAGGACCACUUCUUGGAUGUUGUGGUGGAAAGUUUUUUCGGUGUGGGAUGAGCUCGCGGCCUAUCAGCUUGUUGGUGGGGUAAUGGCCUACCAAGGCGUCGACGGGUAGCCGGCCUGAGAGGGUGUACGGCCACAUUGGGACUGAGAUACGGCCCAGGCUCCUACGGGAGGCAGCAGUGGGGAAUAUUGCACAAUGGGCGCAAGCCUGAUGCAGCGACGCCGCGUGGGGGAUGACGGCCUUCGGGUUGUAAACUCCUUUCGCUAGGGACGAAGCGUUUUGUGACGGUACCUGGAGAAGAAGCACCGGCUAACUACGUG
This 467-nucleotide ribosomal RNA is filed under the name uncultured bacterium. RNAcentral describes it as "partial 16S ribosomal RNA". It matches the Rfam family "Bacterial small subunit ribosomal RNA", at positions 28 to 507 of the family's 1533-position model. The record is from RNAcentral.